Molecule: ribosomal RNA, 465 nt
Filed under: uncultured bacterium
Lineage: Bacteria
Description: partial 16S ribosomal RNA
Rfam family: Bacterial small subunit ribosomal RNA
Source: RNAcentral
CCUACGGGUGGCAGCAGUGGGGAAUCUUGCGCAAUGGGCGCAAGCCUGACGCAGCGACGCCGCGUGAGGGAUGAAGGUCUUCGGAUCGUAAAACUCUGUCAGCAGGGAAGAACGGUCACUGUGGUAAUCAGCAGUGCAUUGACGGUACCUGCAAAGGAAGCACCGGCUAACUCCGUGCCAGCAGCCGCGGUAAUACGGAGGGUGCGAGCGUUGGUCGGAUUUACUGGGCGUAAAGCGCUCGUAGGCGGUAUGUCAAGUCAAGGGUGAAAUCCCCGGGCUCAACGUGGGAACUGCCUUGGAAACUGGUAAACUGGAGUGUGGGAGAGGAGAGUGGAAUUCCAGGUGUAGGAGUGAAAUGCGUAGAUAUCUGGAGGAACAGCAGUGGCGAAGGCGACUAUCUGGCACAUAACUGACGCUGAGGAGCGAAAGCGUGGGUAGCAAACAGGAUUAGAUACCCGAGUAGUC